Molecule: non-coding RNA, 96 nt
Organism: Mycena epipterygia
Lineage: Eukaryota; Fungi; Basidiomycota; Agaricomycetes; Agaricales; Mycenaceae
Source: the annotation of a GenBank genome assembly
GGCCCGGUAGCGGAUGGUCCGUACCUGCUGCAUAUGUUUGGACAUCGCAAACGUCAUCAAUGCAGGAGUUCGCUCGUUCGACUCGAGCUCGGGCCA